This 645-nucleotide long non-coding RNA is filed under the name Lathyrus oleraceus (garden pea). Its description in RNAcentral is "Pisum sativum (pea) long non-coding RNA (PSAT_LNC018604)". Lineage: Eukaryota; Viridiplantae; Streptophyta; Magnoliopsida; Fabales; Fabaceae. The record is from RNAcentral.
CGUUUUCGAGAGCGGAGAGAGAUUUCAUUGAGGUUCUUUGUGUGAAGCAGAUGGGGAGGACGAGGACGAUGAAGCUGCUUCUGUGUUCUCCGUUUCCAUUUUCUUGUUUUUUCUUUUUUAAUUCUUUUAUUAUUUAAUUUAUUUCAUUUUUAACACAAAAAUCGGAAAAAUGUAUAUGUUCUUAUUUUCUUUUAUUAUUAUUAUUUAUUUUUUAUUUAGCUUAAUUUGUUUUUAACAGAGAUAAUAAAAAACCAUAAAAAUGUUUAUUUUGUUUUUUUUAUUUUGUUAUAAAUUUGUCAGCCCAGUUCAUAUAUUUAUGGUAGUACUUCAGUAGCAUAUAACCCUGAGUGGUCUGGUGGAGAAGGGCAGUGUGUAUGUUCUUGAGUGGGGUGGGUUCAAUACUCAUGUGUGACCUUUUUUGGCAUUUUAUUUCUUUUAGCUAUAUUAUUUUUUCUUUUAGCAUUUUAGUUUCUUUUUAUGUUUAUGCCUUUAUUACACUCGUAUGUUCAUUUUGUUAAUAAUGUAAAGUUGUUGUAUUUUAAUUCAAAACCAUUUUAAAACUAUAAAAAUCAUGUUUUUCUCGAUUUAAUAUCGAGCCCAUUUUUUACACCCUUGUAAGUCGAUUGCUUUUUAAGCAUCGCCAUC